AGAAGAUGGAAAAUCCAGAUCUGCGUUUAUCAAUGGGAAUGAAACCUGACCAGAAAGGUGUCCGUAUAAGAAGAAUUGACCCUACUACCCCAGAGUCUAUGAUGUUGAUGCCAUCAGAUGUAAUCCUAAGUUUCGAUGGGGUUGAUAUUGCCAAUGAUGGAACAGUUCCAUUCCGGCAUGGAGAGCGUAUAGGUUUUAGUUAUCUCGUCUCCCAAAAAUAUUCGGGCGACUAUGCUGCUGUUAAAGUUCUUCGUCGUAAUUCUGAGAUAUUAAAUUUCAUUAUCAAACUUGCAACUCAGAUGAGGCUUAUUCCAGCUCACAACAAGGGGAGACCUCCGUCGUAUUAUAUUAUAGCUGGAUUUGUUUUUACAACUGUAUCUGUUCCAUAUCUUCGUUCAGAGUAUGGAAAAGAUUACGAGUAUGAAGCUUCUGUAAAGCUGUUGGACAAACUCUUGCAUGAGUUUCGACAAUCACCUGAUGAACAGAUUGUCGUGGUUUCCCAGGUUCU
RNAcentral lists this unclassified non-coding RNA (508 nucleotides) under Hevea brasiliensis (rubber tree). The record is from RNAcentral. Lineage: Eukaryota; Viridiplantae; Streptophyta; Magnoliopsida; Malpighiales; Euphorbiaceae.